GCUGCCGUAGCUCAGUGGUAGAGCGCACCCUUGGUAAGGGUGAGGUCGAGAGUUCAAUUCUCUCUGGCAGCACCA
This 75-nucleotide transfer RNA is filed under the name Alphaproteobacteria bacterium. RNAcentral describes it as "tRNA-Thr". It matches the Rfam family "tRNA". From Rfam's summary of the family: Transfer RNA (tRNA) molecules are approximately 80 nucleotides in length. Their secondary structure includes four short double-helical elements and three loops (D, anti-codon, and T loops). Lineage: Bacteria; Pseudomonadati; Pseudomonadota; Alphaproteobacteria. The record is from RNAcentral.